RNAcentral lists this ribosomal RNA (253 nucleotides) under uncultured bacterium. Its description in RNAcentral is "partial 16S ribosomal RNA". It matches the Rfam family "Bacterial small subunit ribosomal RNA", at positions 524 to 776 of the family's 1533-position model. The record is from RNAcentral.
UACGAAGGGGGCUAGCGUUGCUCGGAAUUACUGGGCGUAAAGGGCGCGUAGGCGGGUCGUUAAGUUAGAGGUGAAAGCCCAGGGCUCAACCCUGGAAUUGCCUUUAAUACUGGUGACCUAGAGUAUGACAGAGGUGUGUGGAACUCCGAGUGUAGAGGUGAAAUUCGUAGAUAUUGGGAAGAACACCGAUGGCGAAGGCAGCCAUCUGGACCGACACUGACGCUGAGGCGCGAAAGCGUGGGGAGCAAACAGG